CUAUGCGCCUUGCCAGCCCGCUCAGGUGUGCCAGCAGCCGCGGUAAUACGGAGGAUGCGAGCGUUAUCCGGAUUUAUUGGGUUUAAAGGGUGCGUAGGCGGUCCGUUAAGUCAGCGGUAAAAUUGCGGGGCUCAACCCCGUCGAGCCGUUGAAACUGUCAGACUUGAGUUGGCGAGAAGUACGCGGAAUGCGCGGUGUAGCGGUGAAAAUGCAUAGAUAUCGCGCAGAACUCCGAUUGCGAAGGCAGCGUACCGGCGCCACACUGACGCUGAGGCACGAAAGCGUGGGGAUCGAACAGG
Molecule: ribosomal RNA, 299 nt
Filed under: uncultured bacterium
Lineage: Bacteria
Description: partial 16S ribosomal RNA
Rfam family: Bacterial small subunit ribosomal RNA
Source: RNAcentral